Molecule: ribosomal RNA, 480 nt
Filed under: uncultured Flavobacteriaceae bacterium
Lineage: Bacteria; Pseudomonadati; Bacteroidota; Flavobacteriia; Flavobacteriales; Flavobacteriaceae
Description: bacterial SSU rRNA
Rfam family: Bacterial small subunit ribosomal RNA
Source: RNAcentral
GAUGAACGCUAGCGGCAGGCUUAACACAUGCAAGUCGAGGGGUAACAUAGUAGCUUGCUACUGAUGACGACCGGCGAACGGGUGCGUAACGCGUAUGCAAUCUGCCUUAUACUGAGGGAUAGCCUUUGGAAACGAAGAUUAAUACCUCAUGGUCUAUUAACAUCGCAUGGUAUUAAUAGUAAAGAUUACGGUAUAAGAUGAGCAUGCGUCCUAUUAGCUAGAUGGUAAGGUAACGGCUUACCAUGGCAACGAUAGGUAGGGGUCCUGAGAGGGAGAUCCCCCACACUGGUACUGAGACACGGACCAGACUCCUACGGGAGGCAGCAGUGAGGAAUAUUGGACAAUGGAGGCAACUCUGAUCCAGCCAUGCCGCGUGAAGGAUGACUGCCCUAUGGGUUGUAAACUUCUUUUAUAUAGGAAGAAACACUUCUACGUGUAGAAGCUUGACGGUACUAUAUGAAUAAGCACCGGCUAACUCCG